RNAcentral lists this ribosomal RNA (207 nucleotides) under uncultured bacterium. RNAcentral describes it as "partial 16S ribosomal RNA". It matches the Rfam family "Bacterial small subunit ribosomal RNA", at positions 1294 to 1500 of the family's 1533-position model. The record is from RNAcentral.
CGGACUGCAGUCUGCAACUCGACUGCACGAAGCUGGAAUCGCUAGUAAUCGCGGAUCAGCACGCCGCGGUGAAUACGUUCCCGGGCCUUGUACACACCGCCCGUCAAACCAUGAGAGUUGGCAACACCCGAAGUCGGUAGUCUAACCGCAAGGAGGACGCCGCCGAAGGUGGGGUUGAUGAUUAGGGUUAAGUCGUAACAAGGUACC